RNAcentral lists this ribosomal RNA (253 nucleotides) under uncultured bacterium. RNAcentral describes it as "partial 16S ribosomal RNA". It matches the Rfam family "Bacterial small subunit ribosomal RNA", at positions 524 to 776 of the family's 1533-position model. The record is from RNAcentral.
UACGGAGGGUGCGAGCGUUGUCCGGAAUCACUGGGCGUAAAGGGCGCGUAGGUGGCGCGGGUAGUCGUCGGUGAAAGCUCAGGGCUCAACCCUGAGUCGGCCGGUGAUACUCCCGUGCUUGAGUGUGGUAGAGGCCAAUGGAAUUCCGGGUGUAGCGGUGGAAUGCGUAGAGAUCCGGAAGAACACCGGUGGCGAAGGCGGUUGGCUGGGCCACAACUGACACUGAUGCGCGACAGCGUGGGGAGCAAACAGG